RNAcentral lists this ribosomal RNA (492 nucleotides) under uncultured bacterium. RNAcentral describes it as "partial 16S ribosomal RNA". It matches the Rfam family "Bacterial small subunit ribosomal RNA", at positions 29 to 507 of the family's 1533-position model. The record is from RNAcentral.
AGUGAACGCUGGCGGUAGGCCUAACACAUGCAAGUCGAACGGCAGCACAGUAAGAGCUUGCUCUUACGGGUGGCGAGUGGCGGACGGGUGAGGAGUACAUCGGAAUCUACUUUUUCGUGGGGGAUAACGGAGGGAAACUUACGCUAAUACAGCAUACGACCUACGGGUGAAAGCAGGGGAGCUUCGGACCUUGCGCGAUUGAAUGAGCCGAUGUCGGAUUAGCUAGUUGGCGGGGUAAGGGCACACCAAGGCGACGAUCCGUAGCUGACCUGAGAGGAUGAUCGGCCACACUGGAACUGAGACACGGUCCAGACUCCUACGGGAGGCAGCAGUGGGGAAUAUUGGACAAUGGGCGCAAGCCUGACCCAGCCAUACCGCGUGAGUGAAGAAGGCCUUCGGGUUGUAAAGCCCUUUUGUUGGGAAAGAAAAGCAGCAGGUUAAUCCCCCGCUGUUCUGACGGUACCCAAAGAAUAAGCACCGGCUAACUUCGUG